AUAUCUCAAUCGCAAAUCACUGGCAGGAACGACAGCAACUGCAGUGCAGCGAAUGAAACAGGAUAUGACAGCUACACAGAUGAAGGCACAGAUAUUCCACACGAUCCUCAACCGUCACAGAAGAGCGUUGGUACACUGGCACAAGGUCCUGUG
Long non-coding RNA from Ornithodoros turicata, 153 nucleotides. RefSeq lists it as uncharacterized. NCBI's taxonomy places the organism in Eukaryota, Metazoa, Arthropoda, Arachnida, Ixodida, Argasidae. The transcript has 3 exons. The record is from RefSeq and is a predicted model, not a curated record.